UUGGAUUUUGGAGGAAAUUAUUAGUUAAUUUCCUAGGGAUUUUUGAGGUUUUGAUCGGGCAGAACAAUGGCUAGGUUGGGACGAUAAUGGGGUUUUGAUCGGAUGGCAUAAUAGCUUAGGUGGGCUAGUACUUGGAGUUUAGGUUGGGCAGCAUAAUGGCUACGCCGGGAUGAUAUCUAGGAUUUUGAUCGAGCAGCAUAAUGGCUGUGUGAUGGAGUGAAUCAGGAUUCGAGAGCUAGGGAGUGGGUAUUAAGGAGUUUAUGAUGAGUCAAGGACUAGGGUAAAAGAAACUUGCACCACAGUAGUCGUCACCCACGGCUUAACCCUAUGAGGGAUUUUUU
Molecule: long non-coding RNA, 341 nt
Filed under: Setaria viridis
Lineage: Eukaryota; Viridiplantae; Streptophyta; Magnoliopsida; Poales; Poaceae
Description: long non-coding RNA (SVIR_LNC003318)
Source: RNAcentral